RNAcentral lists this ribosomal RNA (781 nucleotides) under uncultured Neocallimastigales. RNAcentral describes it as "partial large subunit ribosomal RNA". It matches the Rfam family "Eukaryotic large subunit ribosomal RNA", at positions 23 to 646 of the family's 3401-position model. Lineage: Eukaryota; Fungi; Neocallimastigomycota; Neocallimastigomycetes; Neocallimastigales. The record is from RNAcentral.
AGAGAGAGACAUGCGCGCAUAUCAAUAAGCGGAGGAAAAGAAACUAACUAGGAUUCCCUCAGUAACGGCGAGUGAAGCGGGAAGAGCUCAAAUUUGAAAUCUUCAAGGUUCUACCUUGACGAAUUGUAGUUUAAAGAAGUGUUUUCUGUUGGAGUUUUGGUAAGAGUUCUUUGGAAUAGGACAUCAUAGAGGGUGAGAAUCCCGUAUUUGACCAUUAUUUCCAGCUUUGUGAUACACUUUCAAAGAGUCGGAUUGUUUGGGAAUGCAGUCCAAAAUGGGUGGUAAAUUUCAUCUAAAGCUAAAUACUGGCGAGAGACCGAUAGCGAACAAGUACCGUGAGGGAAAGGAUGAAAAGAACUUUGAAAAGAGAGUUAAACAGUACGUGAAAUUGUCAAAAGGGAAGCGUUUGACACCAGUGUUGUUUUCUCGAAAAUCAAUUAAAAAGAGUCAGGAUUUUGUGUUGUAUUGACCUUAAUCAGCUUCUGCACUUCAAUUUUCUUGUCUUUUUUUAAUGCACUUUUCGUUUAACAAGUCAACAUCAGUUUCUUUUGUUGUAAAAGGGUCAUUGGAAGGUGGCUUUCUUUUCGGAGAAAGUGUUUAUAGCCUUUGACUCCUGCAAUCGGAGAGACUGAGGUCUGCAGCGUAGAUCCUUCGGGGUUAGAUACAUUUGUGCUAAGUUAUAGCCUUUUCAUAGACAACUUGUUGACUAUGAUCAGUCAUGUAGCUUACUCGCUUAUGCUAUUUUACCUACGCUUAGGAUGUUGAUGUGAUACUGCGAGCA